GUGCCAGCAGCCGCGGUAAUACCGGCAGCUCGAGUGAUGGCCAAUCUUAUUGGGCCUAAAGCGUCCGUAGCUGGCCGCGCAAGUCCGUCGGGAAAUCCAUCAGCCCAGCGGGUGGGCGUCCGGUAGAAACUGGCCGGCUUGGAACCGGAAGGCUCAGAGAGUACGUCCGGGGUAGGAGUGAAAUCCCGUAAUCCCGGACGGACUACCGAUGGCGAAAGCACUCUGAGAAGACGGCUUCGACAGUGAGGGACGAAAGCUCGGGUCUCAAACCGGAUUAGAAACCCUGGUAGUCC
Molecule: ribosomal RNA, 293 nt
Filed under: uncultured bacterium
Lineage: Bacteria
Description: partial 16S ribosomal RNA
Rfam family: Archaeal small subunit ribosomal RNA
Source: RNAcentral